RNAcentral lists this ribosomal RNA (1143 nucleotides) under Escherichia coli. RNAcentral describes it as "partial 23S ribosomal RNA". It matches the Rfam family "Bacterial large subunit ribosomal RNA", at positions 375 to 1527 of the family's 2925-position model. Lineage: Bacteria; Pseudomonadati; Pseudomonadota; Gammaproteobacteria; Enterobacterales; Enterobacteriaceae. The record is from RNAcentral.
GUACACAAAAAUGCACAUACUGUGAGCUCGAUGAGUAGGGCGGGACACGUGGUAUCCUGUCUGAAUAUGGGGGGACCAUCCUCCAAGGCUAAAUACUCCUGACUGACCGAUAGUGAACCAGUACCGUGAGGGAAAGGCGAAAAGAACCCCGGCGAGGGGAGUGAAAAAGAACCUGAAACCGUGUACGUACAAGCAGUGGGAGCCUCUUAAUGGGGUGACUGCGUACCUUUUGUAUAAUGGGUCAGCGACUUAUAUUCUGUAGCAAGGUUAACCGAAUAGGGGAGCCGAAGGGAAACCGAGUCUUAACUGGGCGUUAAGUUGCAGGGUAUAGACCCGAAACCCGGUGAUCUAGCCAUGGGCAGGUUGAAGGUUGGGUAACACUAACUGGAGGACCGAACCGACUAAUGUUGAAAAAUUAGCGGAUGACUUGUGGCUGGGGGUGAAAGGCCAAUCAAACCGGGAGAUAGCUGGUUCUCCCCGAAAGCUAUUUAGGUAGCGCCUCGUGAAUUCAUCUCCGGGGGUAGAGCACUGUUUCGGCAAGGGGGUCAUCCCGACUUACCAACCCGAUGCAAACUGCGAAUACCGGAGAAUGUUAUCACGGGAGACACACGGCGGGUGCUAACGUCCGUCGUGAAGAGGGAAACAACCCAGACCGCCAGCUAAGGUCCCAAAGUCAUGGUUAAGUGGGAAACGAUGUGGGAAGGCCCAGACAGCCAGGAUGUUGGCUUAGAAGCAGCCAUCAUUUAAAGAAAGCGUAAUAGCUCACUGGUCGAGUCGGCCUGCGCGGAAGAUGUAACGGGGCUAAACCAUGCACCGAAGCUGCGGCAGCGACACUAUGUGUUGUUGGGUAGGGGAGCGUUCUGUAAGCCUGUGAAGGUGUACUGUGAGGUAUGCUGGAGGUAUCAGAAGUGCGAAUGCUGACAUAAGUAACGAUAAAGCGGGUGAAAAGCCCGCUCGCCGGAAGACCAAGGGUUCCUGUCCAACGUUAAUCGGGGCAGGGUGAGUCGACCCCUAAGGCGAGGCCGAAAGGCGUAGUCGAUGGGAAACAGGUUAAUAUUCCUGUACUUGGUGUUACUGCGAAGGGGGGACGGAGAAGGCUAUGUUGGCCGGGUGACGGUUGUCCCGGUUUAAGCGUGUAGGCUG